GCAUCUGUGAAAAAUAUCUUAAUCCUGUUAUAUUCUCUCCUUUGCGCUUCCCAGGAUGGACACUUCUGAGCUGGCAGAACAUCUGGCCUUGGUCUGGAGCCAUAUGUCUGCUCCUCUGUAGACGUGCACAUGGGCAGUAAUGGACGUGCCUUCACUGACCUACGUGUUUGCAAGUUCCAUGGCUGCCCCCCGUGUUUGGAGCAUGGAGACCGAUGGAAGAUGACAAGCACUGAUCAAGGAGGACUGUCUCGUCUGUUUGUGAUCUGCUCUGCUCUGUGA
Molecule: long non-coding RNA, 279 nt
Filed under: Saimiri boliviensis boliviensis (Bolivian squirrel monkey)
Lineage: Eukaryota; Metazoa; Chordata; Mammalia; Primates; Cebidae
Description: lncRNA (ENSSBOG00000036670.1)
Source: RNAcentral